UAACGAAUCUUCCGCAAUGGGCGAAAGCCUGACGGAGCAAUGCCGCGUGUGGGAUGAAGCGUCUCUGACGUGUAAACCACUGUCAGGGGUCGGAACCAAUGAUUGACCCCAAAGGAAGUGGCGACUAACUCUGUGCCAGCAGUCGCGGUAAUACAGAGGCCACAAGCGUUAGUCGGAAUCACUGGGCUUAAAGGGUGCGUAGGCGGAUCGGUAAGUGUUCUGUGAAAGCCCCCGGCUCAACCGAAGAACUGCAGGGCAUACUGCCGAUCUUGAGGCAGAUAGGGGUCGCGAGAACUGUAGGUGGAGCGGUGAAAUACGUAGAUAUCUACAAAAAUGCCGAUGGUAAAGACGCGCGACUGGGCCUGUCCUGACGCUGAGGCACGAAAGCGUAAGGAGCAAACA
This 402-nucleotide ribosomal RNA is filed under the name uncultured bacterium. RNAcentral describes it as "bacterial SSU rRNA". It matches the Rfam family "Bacterial small subunit ribosomal RNA", at positions 355 to 774 of the family's 1533-position model. The record is from RNAcentral.